AGGGACUUCCGUCUUAGUACGAGACUUCCGCUUCUUUUUCUCGCUGCCUUUUCCACGCUUGGUGGUUCCCGCUUCUCCUUCUCUUCCCUGAGCUGACGUGUGACGGGCUCUACCUUCGAUGGCCUCUGCUCUGCCCUAGGAGGACAGCCUGGAGGAAGAGGGAAUGGCUCCUGCCCUGACUUCCAGGCCCGGGAAGGAAUCAGUCACAUUCAAGGAUGUGGCUGUGGAUUUCACUCCAGAGGAGUGGGUACAAUUGAACUCAUCUCAGAAAAAGUUGUAU
Vombatus ursinus (common wombat) is the source of this 280-nucleotide long non-coding RNA. RefSeq lists it as uncharacterized. The transcript is spliced from 3 exons. NCBI's taxonomy places the organism in Eukaryota, Metazoa, Chordata, Mammalia, Diprotodontia, Vombatidae. The record is from RefSeq and is a predicted model, not a curated record.